GUGGUGCUUUCAAAAAAAAUAAGUGAUCUUAUUGAUAAGUGCUUAACAAAGAACACCCGGAAAUCGUACUAGGCUGUCGAAGGCUAAGGAAACUGUGACAAAAGAUUUGGUUGGAAAAGCAUACUGUUAAGGAAACUAGGAUUGUCUAGGCCGAACAAAAAGGAAUUGCGCAAAAUUAUAUAUCGUCCUCCUGAAGGUCUUGAAUCAUUUGAUUCUAAUAGGCUAAGAUAUUUUUAGUGGGAUUCAUACCUUUUUAAAGAUUUGCCGUCAGAUUUCAGGGUAGAGAAUGUUGUUGAACUUGUAAUGGCGUGAGAGCCAACCAAUGGAGCUAAAAUGGGAUGAGGACCAGGUCCAUCUGAAGUUAAAGAAGUUGGAUCUUGGAUAUUCUGAGUACCUUUUUCAAUUACCAAACUUGAGUGGGGCUAUAAAUCUUGAACGUAUAAAUCUUAAGGGUUGCAAAAGUUUGGUUGAAAUUCCUUCAUUUUUUAAGGAUCUCAACAAGCUUAAGUAUCUAAAUCUGAGUGAUUGCGUCAAGCUGGAAGAUGGCAUAGAAAACCUUCCAUUGAGUAUAAGGGAUUUAAAAUUGCGUUGGACAGCAAUUAUAAGUCUACCGGAAAGCAUUUGGAAGAUGAAAUAUCUCAAGGAGCUGGAUCUUUCUCAUUGCCAAAAGCUGGAAAAGCUUCCAGAAAUCCCGGAGGAUUGUACAAGUUCAUCUCUUGGAUAGUUGAAUAUAACUGGUUGUGGGAGAUUGAAAACAAUACCAGAGCUUCCACCAUGUUCAUCUAAUAUCGAUACAGUGUGUUGCACCUCACUGGAGACAAUAUCACGUUGGACUUGGAUGACUCCAACUGCAAAAGAAGAAAGACGUUACGUUUAUAAUUUAGCCUUUGUCUGAAAUUGGAUAGCAACUCAGGCAACCACGAAAUUGCUGAUCACAGGGGAACUUUGGUUGCUCAGGAUGUAGAUGUAAAAGGAAAAAGACAUUACAUUUAUAAUUUUAGCCGUUAUCUAAAAUUGGAUAGCAACUCACGCAACCAAGUGAAUUGUUGAUCGCACUAGAACUUUGAUUGCUCAGGAUCUGGAUGAUAUUUCAAAUCUUGAAACGGUGUAUCCAGGAGAUGAGAUUCCAGAGUGGUUCAGCCAUAAAACGGAUCGUGGGAACUCAUUCGAUAUCCAGCUUCCUCCAAAUUGGUUUAAUAUUAAUGAUUCCCGCUUUGAUUUUAUCUUUUACAUUGUUUUGUGUAUAGCUGUUCUACAAAAGCUGAGACCCGAUUCAAAUUAAAUUUGAAAACCAACAACAUUAACAGUGAUGAUGACCGUGUUUAUAAUUAUGAUGGUUGUUGGUUGCCUCAUAUUGGAAGUAAAGAUGAAGAUCACGUCUUAAUUAGGUGCAAGGGGUCGGUUUGGAACGUGCAUUUGGGGCAAAGUGGUCCUCUAUUUGUAGCAACUUCACCCAAGUUUUCUAUCUGUGUGUUUAUCGAGGAAGAAGAUGUGAAAUGGGAGAUCAAAAAGUGUUGGUUUAAAUUGUUAAAUGGGUGGAGUGGAAGUAAAAGACGGUUGGAUGAGGAUCCUAACAUCCAACUCCAAGAAGAUAAAUUAAUUGAAAGUAAAUGAAAAUCAUGCAUUCUAUUGGUAUAUUUAUUUGGCUUCUUUUUUGUUGUUUGAGCUGCAUGGUUUAGAAGUCAUAAAAUUCCACUCUCAAAUAUUGAACUGUCACUGAUUAUUCUUAAUCUUGGAACACGGCGGACAGUUAGUUUUGAAUUGGAUGAUUUAUUUAGAUUAAUCUGGUUAGUCAUGCAUGCUCUUGUCAACCUACCCUCUUUCUCUGUUUCUGGUGGUAAAGCUGUAUCAGUAAAUUGAUAUGAUUUUGUUUUGCUUGUUGUCAUUGAACAGAUUAUGUGAAGUUCAUAGAAUAACUUCAGCAGACCAGACACAUUGAUGGCUCCUAUUUUAGUUUAGGAUUCUCAAGAAGAUAUGGAAAUGCAAAUUUAUGUAAUAUCUAUGCUACUGUACAAGUAGAAAAUUCAUGUGCUGCUUUUGUUGUCAUUUUUGUUUUUGGCUAUUUUAACGGAGUUGGGAGAACACAUAUUGCAUCUCAAUGCUUUCUUAUACUAUUUAAUGGCCAUAUAUACAUUUGUUCUA
RNA transcript from Ziziphus jujuba (common jujube), 2142 nucleotides. It is a transcript of the gene named probable disease resistance protein RPP1, with no coding region annotated. The transcript has 3 exons. The record is from RefSeq and is a predicted model, not a curated record. NCBI's taxonomy places the organism in Eukaryota, Viridiplantae, Streptophyta, Magnoliopsida, Rosales, Rhamnaceae.